UGAGGAAUCUUGCGCAAUGGGGGCAACCCUGACGCAGCCACGCCGCGUGCCGGAAGACGGCCCUAUGGGUUGUAAACGGCUUUUAUUUGGGAAGAACCUGGGGGUUUCGACCUCCACUGACGGUACCAAUUGAACAAGCACCGGCUAACUCCGUGCCAGCAGCCGCGGUAAUACGGAGGGUGCAAGCGUUGUCCGGAAUCAUUGGGUGUAAAGGGUGCGCAGGCUGGCGCCUAAGUCGGAGGUGAAAUCUUGCCGCUUAACGGUAAAAUGGCCUCCGAUACUGGGUGUCUUGAAUCUGACAGAGGUCGGUGGAAUUCGUAGUGUAGCGGUGAAAUGCAUAGAUAUUACGAAGAACAUCAGUGGCGAAGGCGGCCGGCUGGGUCAGUAUUGACGCUGAGGCACGAGAGCGUGGGGAGCGAACAGGAUUAGAUACCCCCGUAGUCC
RNAcentral lists this ribosomal RNA (444 nucleotides) under uncultured prokaryote. RNAcentral describes it as "bacterial SSU rRNA". It matches the Rfam family "Bacterial small subunit ribosomal RNA", at positions 355 to 796 of the family's 1533-position model. The record is from RNAcentral.